GCGGAGGAAAAGAAACCAACAGGGAUUGCUCUAGUAACGGCGAGUGAAGCAGCAAUAGCUCAAAUUUGAAAUCUGGCGUCUUCGGCGUCCGAGUUGUAAUUUGUAGAGGAUGCUUCUGGGCAGCCACCGACCUAAGUUCCUUGGAACAGGACGUCAUARAGGGUGAGAAUCCCGUAUGCGGUCGGAAAGGCACCCUACACGUAGCUCCUUCGACGAGUCGAGUUGUUUGGGAAUGCAGCUCUAAAUGGGAGGUAAAUUUCUUCUAAAGCUAAAUAUUGGCCAGAGACCGAUAGCGCACAAGUAGAGUGAUCGAAAGAUGAAAAGCACUUUGGAAAGAGAGUUAAAAAGCACGUGAAAUUGUUGAAAGGGAAGGGAUUGCAACCAGACUUGCUCGCGGUGUUCCGCCGGUCUUCUGACCGGUCUACUCGCCGCGUUGCAGGCCAGCAUCGUCUGGUGCCGCUGGAUAAGACUUGAGGAAUGUAGCUCCCUCGGGAGUGUUAUAGCCUCUUGUGAUGCAGCGAGCGCCGGGCGAGGUCCGCG
RNAcentral lists this ribosomal RNA (540 nucleotides) under Cladosporium halotolerans. RNAcentral's name for it is "partial large subunit ribosomal RNA". The record is from RNAcentral. Lineage: Eukaryota; Fungi; Ascomycota; Dothideomycetes; Cladosporiales; Cladosporiaceae.